Molecule: ribosomal RNA, 561 nt
Filed under: uncultured archaeon
Lineage: Archaea
Description: bacterial SSU rRNA
Rfam family: Archaeal small subunit ribosomal RNA
Source: RNAcentral
CGCGAAUCGCCCUUGGUGCGCAGGCGCGAAAACUCCACAAUGUACGGAAGUACGAUGGGGUUAUCUCGAGUGCAGUCCGAUAAGGGCUGCUUUUCCAUAGAGUAAUAUCCUGUGGGAAUAAGAGGGGGGCAAGACUGGUGUCAGCCGCCGCGGUAACACCAGCCCCUCGAGUGGUGGGGACUAUUAUUUGGCCUAAAGCGUCCGUAGCUGGCUGUAUCCGUCCCCCGUUAAAUCCAGCGUCCUAAGCGUUGGACUGCGGGUGAUACCAUACAGCUAGAGGGUGGGAUAGGUGAGCGGUAUUUCUGGGGUAGGGGCGAAAUCCUUUGAUCCCAGGAGGACCACCAGUGGCGAAGGCUGCUCACUAGAACACGCCUGACGGUCAGGGACGAAAGCUGGGGCAGCGAACCGGAUUAGAUACCCGGGUAGUCCCAGCUGUAAACGAUGCUGCUAGGGUGUUGGGUCGGCCACGUGCCGCCCCAGUGCCGCAGGGAAGCCGUUAAGCUAGCCGCCUGGGGAGUACGGCCGCAAGGCUGAAACUUAAAGGAAUUGGCGGGGGAGCAC